Sorghum bicolor (sorghum) is the source of this 46-nucleotide non-coding RNA. NCBI's taxonomy places the organism in Eukaryota, Viridiplantae, Streptophyta, Magnoliopsida, Poales, Poaceae. The record is from Rfam.
UGAUUGGAUCUAUUUAGAUCCAUCCAUAUAAUUUUUAGCAAGCUCU